RNAcentral lists this ribosomal RNA (406 nucleotides) under uncultured bacterium. RNAcentral's name for it is "partial 16S ribosomal RNA". It matches the Rfam family "Bacterial small subunit ribosomal RNA", at positions 30 to 526 of the family's 1533-position model. The record is from RNAcentral.
AUUGUACGCUGGCGGCAGGCCUAACACAUGCAAGUCGAACGAGUGGCGGACGGGUGAGUAAUGUCUGGGAAACUGCCUGAUGGAGGGGGAUAACUACUGGAAACGGUAGCUAAUACCGCAUACCAUCGGAUGUGCCCAUAUGGGAUUAGCUAGUAGGUGGGGUCAAGGCUCACCUAGGCGACGAUCCCUAUCUGGUCUGAGAGGAUGGCCAGCCACACUGGAACUGAGACACGAGCCAGACUCCGACGGUAGGCAGCGGUGGGGAGUAUUGCACGAUGGGCGCGAGCCUGAUGCAGCCAAGCCGCGUGUAUGAAGAAGGCCUUCGGGUUGUAAAGUACUUUCAGCGGGGAGGCGUUACCCGCAGAAGAAGCACCGGCUAACUCCGUGCCAGCCGCCGCGGUAAUUC